CAAAAUUUGUUCCGAUUUUCAUAACAAGGUUCAGAAGCAUAUGUGUCUUGAGAGCCAUGAGCUGACACAUGGAGCUUUGAGAAGUAGAGCUUGUAUGGAGGACGUACAGGAAGCAGCAGGAAUUUUACUGCAAGUAACCUAAAGAAGAAAGAGACUACAUCCCUGGCCACAGAGUUUUUAUUGUUAAGUCAUUCCACCAAUUAAUUCCACUGACAUAGUUUUCUUCCAUCAGGUUCUCAAGUUGCAAUCUUCAGAAUGUUCAGGCAGCCUAGAGACAUCAGUAUUAGUUAUGAAUUUUCUAGACGAUGAUUACAUAGAGGUAUAAAAGGACUGUGGCCCCUAUUUUCCAUUACUGCUGUGUAAUGCAAGAUGUGCACUCUUGGUCAAGUCUGAGAAAAACAGUCACAGGGCUUGCAUUCAUAUCUCAGCCCCAUUGAUGUCCCUCACAGCUACUACUGACAAAAAUUUAUGUAAAUGAGAACAAUGGACUAGGUAAAUGGCUAUCCUGGAAAGAGCUUGUUCUUUUUUAAGGAAACAAUCCCAUUUCUUGAAUAAAUUUGUAUCCUCUCAAUUUGAGUAGCUCACAUUUAUAUCGUUGCAUAUUAAGUGUCUAUUUAACACCAGCAAAAAUUGUAUUUCUGAAGUAGUAAAUACAACGGGUUUUCUCCAGAUAUGUACAUAGCUAAAUUAAGAGGCAGAGCAAAUAAUUAAAUAGGAACUUAUGCAGGUCUUUUGCACUGUAAAAUACGAACCCCAUCUGUUAAUUACAAGUACUGGGUUUCUUUUAGCUAGGAACACUAACAGGACUACAAAGGUCCAUGGAUCAGCUGUAUAAAGAGGGAUCAGAAUAUGCACGAACAGUGAGUUACACAAGGAAACACAAGAUGGUUUUGAUGAUUCAGGGCUGACUGUGAUAUGGAAUUCAAGUCCAAUUGGCUAUUGAACAAUCUAUUGUUACUGUUACUGUUUCUUGAUAAUGUAAUUAGUUCUAUUUUUUUCACCAGAAGCACUAGUCCUGAACCACUUUUUAUGUACAGGGUGUAAGAGAUAUCCAUACAAAAAUACCUCAACCUUGAGAGCCUGCAAAGUCUUUACAAGAAUGAAAUAGGGAUAUAUGCAGUUGAUGCUGUACAAGCUGACAGAAUCAGUCAGCAACUCAAGCAGUGGACUUUGCAUUUAGUCAGGUUUUUUCUGCAGACUCUACACAGAAGCAGAGCUUUUUGUAGAACAAGGAGGAAUCAAGCAAGCAUGAGAAGUGCAAAUUAAAGCAGUGAUGUGCUACUGAAUGGUAAAUUCAGGUAAUUCUUUCUUUCCUGGGGGAAAAAAAAAAAAAGCAGCAGAGUAGAAUAGUUUUCUUUGGAAGUGACUGGAGCAAAGAACUCCAGCCUUAAAACAAAGAAACAUCUGAGAUGUAAUUAUUUAUUUCUGAAUAAGGGGUGAGGGAUGGAGGACACUGGUGGAAAUUCAAGGAAGAUUCAAUGGAGACCAAGAAAGAGGUGUUUCAAUCUGAAUUGCUUUUACCAGCUCUGACAAUGUCUGUUAUUUUCAUGGGACAUCAACUCAUUCUUGAACAACAGGGGGAGAGGAGAUAACAGAAACAUGCUAACAAUGAAGCACUUGAAAACAGGCCUCAUAAGACCAGUGUGCUAUUGUGCCAGCGCUGAGUGGAAUCUAAAUUUAGGGAUCCACAUGAGUUACUGCGCAUAAUGUCAUGGGAAUGCUGCCCAGGAACUGGAAGAGGAAGGUGUUCUAAGAGUUUCUUUUUUGUAUUGCUCCAGAUGGUCCAUGUGCUUAUGGAAACGCUAACUCUGGAAGGAACUGUCAGCUCAACCCACCCCUUUUGAGAAACUGAGAAACAAAUGUGUCGGCAAGUGUUUCAUCAUAUGAAUAACUUUUUUUAAACUGAGGGACAGUUAACUAUCAACUUUGAAGAUGAAUCCAGAUGAGUUUCUGCAAAUUUUGUGAUACAGUACUGCCCUUAGAGGAAGAAGACGUGGAACAGUGAGUGGACUUUUGGAGAUCCUAAGUUAAGGAAUUCACAUGUUCAGGAAGAGAUACUUCAUUGUCCUGCCUCCCAGCCAAGAACUUCAGAGCUACCAACUCUUCUCCUGGGCUGGCAGGGCACUGUGCACGCCCCAGGUCACCAGUGCACAGCCUUGGUGUUGGCCUAU
This is a long non-coding RNA of Columba livia (rock pigeon), 2171 nucleotides long. RefSeq lists it as uncharacterized. Lineage: Eukaryota; Metazoa; Chordata; Aves; Columbiformes; Columbidae. The record is from RefSeq and is a predicted model, not a curated record. The transcript is spliced from 4 exons.